ACUAUAUUCACAACUAAAAUUAGCCAUACCAACCCCAAAUCCUUUCUCUUUACUCUCUGAGAAGGAAAAAGUCCUACACAAUAUAAUUAAAGCUACUUACCACCCAGACUAAAUAUUGCACAAAUUGUUAUCAUAAAGCACAGGACAUAACACUUAUAAUGUCAAUAUGAUUCAUGCUUGGUGGUAUUGUGGUUACAUGUUAGUUGGGGGUGUACUGAGCUGUGCUUUUUUACUUUAUCCUUUUAUCCAGUCUAUUGCUCAGGUCUUCAGGACAUGGGAAGAAAAUAUACUCAUUUGAAACGUAGCACCUCUUGGAAGAAAACAAACAAACAAACCUAUAUAUAGUCUAAUUAUCUAUAAUCAAUUACAGGAAUGAUCCUCAUUGUUUUACUAUUUCUUUAUGAACAUUACGAACAUUAUGAACCCUUGGCCAUUCCAAUGUUUUAUCUUCAGUGACAAAGCUUAUGAAAAGAUCUUCACCUUCUAUAAAAUAAUGCCAGUUCAAGUACCUUUCCUCAGACGUAGAGUUUGCCUUCCGAAAUGACCAGCAAGUCAACAUUGGCAGCAGCUCAGACACCAGAGCAAUAUCCAGGAAGCUAACAGAACCACAGAGGAGUUGAAACACAUGCGUCUGGGUUUCAGUAUUAUUCCCAAGCUCCAUCUCCCCCAAACAGAGGGAGUGUCUUGGCUGACACCUCCAAUACCUCUUUGGGUGAGGAAUGGGAAUUGAGCAUCAUGUGGCAAGAAGGGACAAAUGGACACUCCAGUUGAGUCACAACAUCAGCUUCCAGGUCCUGAUCCUCUAUAGUCAUUCUCUGGUCUCCCAACACAAAUGCCAGAAGAACUCAUCAGAUCCUCCUCAGUUGGCAGCACUGAAGGUCUAGGUACAUCUUUAGCUGGCAGGGGCUGACAGACACAGAAUAUGCAUUGAGGAAUGGUUCUUACCACUAUAGUGAUGGGCAUGCAUGCUUUUCAGUAGAAAUGAUAUGAAAAAUUUGUAUGUAGUACAUGCUAAAAGCCUUCGGGUAGAGAUCCUACACUUUGAUGAAUUACUGUGAAGAACUGUACAAUGAAGCAGAUUGUACAGCAUUUGAUGACAAUCAAUGUAUUAGAAGUCUAUGCAUCAAUGUGCAUGGUUCUCAUGCAUAUAUGCCUUUC
RNAcentral lists this long non-coding RNA (1158 nucleotides) under Vulpes vulpes (red fox). Its description in RNAcentral is "lncRNA (ENSVVUG00000023337.1)". Lineage: Eukaryota; Metazoa; Chordata; Mammalia; Carnivora; Canidae. The record is from RNAcentral.